This 467-nucleotide ribosomal RNA is filed under the name uncultured Bacillota bacterium. Its description in RNAcentral is "bacterial SSU rRNA". It matches the Rfam family "Bacterial small subunit ribosomal RNA", at positions 355 to 814 of the family's 1533-position model. The record is from RNAcentral. Lineage: Bacteria; Bacillati; Bacillota.
UAGGGAAUCUUCCGCAAUGGACGAAAGUCUGACGGAGCAACGCCGCGUGAGUGACGAAGGUUUUCGGAUCGUAAAAACUCUGUUGUUAGGGAAGAACAAGUCGGGUAGUAACUGACCCGGCCAUGACGGUACCUAACCAGAAAGCCCCGGCUAACUACGUGCCAGCAGCCGCGGUAAUACGUAGGGGGCAAGCGUUGUCCGGAAUUAUUGGGCGUAAAGCGCUCGCAGGCGGUCCUUUAAGUCUGAUGUGAAAUCUCGCGGCUCAACCGCGAACGGUCAUUGGAAACUGGAGGACUUGAGUACAGAAGAGGAGAGUGGAAUUCCACGUGUAGCGGUGAAAUGCGUAGAGAUGUGGAGGAACACCAGUGGCGAAGGCGACUCUCUGGUCUGUAACUGACGCUGAGGAGCGAAAGCGUGGGGAGCGAACAGGAUAGAUACCCUGGUAGUCCACGCCGUAAACGAUGAGU